Molecule: ribosomal RNA, 253 nt
Filed under: uncultured bacterium
Lineage: Bacteria
Description: partial 16S ribosomal RNA
Rfam family: Bacterial small subunit ribosomal RNA
Source: RNAcentral
UACGAAGGGGGCUAGCGUUGUUCGGAUUUACUGGGCGUAAAGGGUGCGUAGGCGGGUUUUUAAGUCAGGGGUGAAAUCCCGAGGCUCAACCUCGGAACUGCCUUUGAUACUGGAAAUCUUGAGUCUGGGAGAGGUGAGUGGAACUGCGAGUGUAGAGGUGAAAUUCGUAGAUAUUCGCAAGAACACCGGUGGCGAAGGCGGCUCACUGGCCCGGAACUGACGCUGAGACGCGAAAGCGUGGGGAGCAAACAGG